GGCGCUCCGCUCGGCCCAAGAUGGCGGCGUCCGUGUGCGGCCGGGGGCUACGGCCGCUGGUGCUGUCGUGGAGCCGGGAGCUGCCCUGCGCCUGGCGCGCCUUGCACAUCUCCGCGGUCUGCGCCAAGAAGAAGAGAGAAGAGCCUCGGGUGGGGUGUGGAAUUGAGCGUCCAGUGCUCGUGGAUGCGCCCUCUGGAGUUUUGACCAUCUCGCCACGGCGCCCUUCUCCCUGCAGGUAACCUGGACGGGGAGGACCAUGCUGCAGAGAGAACGGUGGAAGAUGUUUUCCUGCGCAAAUUUAUGCUGGGCACCUUCCCAGGCUGCCUGGCUGACCAGCUUGUUCUGAAGCGCCGGGCUAACCAGCUGGAGAUCUGUGCCCUGGUCCUGAGGCAGCUGCCCCCACACAAGUUCUACUUCCUUGUGGGCUACAGUGAGACUCUGCUGUCCCACUUUUACAAGUGUCCUGUGCAUCUGCACCUCCAGACUGUGCCCUCGAAAGUUGUGUAUAAGUAUAUCUAGGACGACGGCCCUUUUUGCAUCAAGCUCUAGCCUGCAGAAGAAAUCUGUGGAAAGGGACUGAAGUGAAACAGAGGAAAUUCAUCCCCUCGGGUUACUGAGGCUUUGUCUUCAAAGUUGCUGUUGAAUAAAUAGACUCUCCUUGUCUUGCUUCUCAGUCUGUUGAGAAAACAAGAAUCGGGUUUUUUAGCAUGCUCCAGGGUUCCCAGGAAGGCUGCUUGUUACUGAGAUUUGGGUAAUAGCUACAGUUGAAUGAGUAUCUUGAGCCAUUCACUAUGUCAGGAACUUUACCCGAGGUUCUUUGUUUUCUCUCAAAAUAAGAAAGGUCCGUUUUUGGAGAUUAUAAAGCAGUGUUAAUUUUAACAAGAUCAAAGCAAUAUAGGCAUAUUAGAUCAGCCAUGAAGCUUACUUGUCAUUCUGCCUCAGAACUUUGAACUUUAUUUUAGGUGUACUUUUUUUUUUUUUUUUUUGGUUUUUUUAGGGCUUUGCCCAUGACAUAUGGAAGUUCCCAGGCUAGGGGUCGAAUUGGAGCUGUAGCUGCCAGCCUACACCACUGCCACAGAAACAUGGGAUCCGAGCCGUGUCCUGUGACUACACCGCAGCUCACGGCAACACAGGCGCGAACCUGAAUCCUCAGGGAUACUAGUGGGGUUCGUUACUGCUGAGCCACGGCAGGGACUCCUAAACAAGCUUUUAACUGCACCUGCUCUGUGCCAGCCCCUUCUAAGCAGCUUGGAACCCAUCAGUGAUCAAAACAUCCCACUCCAAGACCCUGGCUUUCAAAACCCCUGUAUUCCCGGGGAGGGGCAGAGGGGUCAGACGGCACUGAAGAGUCCGUGAAGGCGAGGGAGGUGGCCGGGCAGCGUGUGGGAGGAGCGUUUCAGAAAGUGGCAUGUGCGAAAGCCGCCCGUGGUGCUGGGAGAUGGGGCGGGAUUGCUGACCUUCAGCUGCACCUGACUGAGGACCGUGAUCCUGAUACUCUUCACUUGACUCUGAGCCUUAACACUCGCUCUUACUCCUAACCCUUGAUUUUGCCUGAUGCUCCCCACAACCUUACCUGUACCUUCAGACUCACUCUUACCUGAGGGUGUCAGCCACGCCCUUCCUGGUCCUGCCUCUGACUCUGAUGCUAGCUUGGACUAGUUCGCCGGGACCUGGAUACUGAGUCCUCAAGUGUAACUAACCCUGCCUCCAUCGGAAACCGAAAACUUCAUCCUAAUGCUAUGCUGACCUUUAUCCUAACUUGUAACACUGAUGCUUUGACCAUGAAUGACCCUUACCCAAGCUCUUUUUUGCAGGGGCGGGGGGGGGGGGUCUUUUUAGGGCACACCCGUGACCUGGAAUUUCCCCGGUUAGGGGUCCAAUCGGGCCCGCAGCUGCCAGGCUAUGCUACAGCCACAGCAAUGCCAGGUCUGAGCUGUGCCCAUGACCUACACUGUAGCUCACGGUAAUGCCGGCCAUUUGACCCACUGAGCAAGGCCAGAGAUCAAAUGCUAAUCCUCAUGGAUACUGGUUGGGUUCUUAACCUGCCGAGCCACAGUGGGAACUCCCAGAACACUACUGUUUUUAAAAGUCGGAAGAAACAUGCAAACACUAGAGAAGCGGCCAUACCCGUGGCAUGCAGAAGUUUCUGGGCCAGGAUUCGAACAUGGCCACAGCAGAUACAAUGCCAGAUGCUUAACCUGCUGUGCCACCAGGGAACUCCUUAGUUCUAUUGUUUUAUUUUUUAAAAUAAGAUUUUUGGCACAGUGAAGUAAAUAAGUCAGGUAAUACAUAAUUUUAUGUUAAAUUAUUAAUGCACAUGUCUACUUAUGUUACUUAAGAGUUUUCUUGUUUUUUUUUUUUUUUUUUUUUUUUAAACUGGUGUGGCUCUGUCCUGGGUACACUCUGAAAUGCCUGUUACCAUAGAUGUCGUUUAGAAUUCAGACACUAGUGAGUCUACUUCACUUCAUGGCUGAACACAUUUAACAGGGCAGCUUAUAAAAUAAAAAUGAAAUGUGUAAUGA
RNAcentral lists this long non-coding RNA (2522 nucleotides) under Sus scrofa (pig). RNAcentral describes it as "lncRNA (ENSSSCG00055005471.1)". Lineage: Eukaryota; Metazoa; Chordata; Mammalia; Artiodactyla; Suidae. The record is from RNAcentral.